Molecule: ribosomal RNA, 886 nt
Filed under: bacterium enrichment culture
Lineage: Bacteria
Description: bacterial SSU rRNA
Rfam family: Bacterial small subunit ribosomal RNA
Source: RNAcentral
GAGUGCAGGAGAGGAAAGCGGAAUUCCUAGUGUAGCGGUGAAAUGCGUAGAGAUUAGGAAGAACACCAGUGGCGAAGGCGGCUUUCUGGACUGUAACUGACGCUGAGGCACGAAAGCGUGGGUAGCAAACAGGAUUAGAUACCCUGGUAGUCCACGCCGUAAACGAUGGAUACUAGGUGUAGGGGGUAUCAACUCCCUCUGUGCCGCAGUUAACACAAUAAGUAUCCCGCCUGGGGAGUACAGUCGCAAGAUUAAAACUCAAAGGAAUUGACGGGGGCCCGCACAGGCAGCGGAGCAUGUGGUUUAAUUCGAAGCAACGCGAAGAACCUUACCUGGACUUGACAUCCCUUGCAUAGCCUAGAGAUAGGUGAAGCCCUUCGGGGCAAGGAGACAGGUGGUGCAUGGUUGUCGUCAGCUCGUGUCGUGAGAUGUUAGGUUAAGUCCUGCAACGAGCGCAACCCUUGUUAUCAGUUGCUACCAUUAAGUUGAGCACUCUAAUGAGACUGCCUGGGUAACCAGGAGGAAGGUGGGGAUGACGUCAAAUCAUCAUGCCCCUUAUGUCCAGGGCUACACACGUGCUACAAUGGUAGGUACAAUAAGAGGCAAGACCGUGAGGUGGAGCAAAACUUAUAAGGCCUAUCUCAGUUCGGAUUGUAGGCUGCAACUCGCCUACAUGAAGCUGGAGUUGCUAGUAAUCGCGAAUCAGAAUGUCGCGGUGAAUACGUUCCCGGGCCUUGUACACACCGCCUGUCACACCAUGAGAGCUGGUAACACCCGAAGUCCGUGAGGCAACCGUAAGGAGCCAGCGGCCGAAGGUGGGAUUAGUGAUUGGGGUGAAGUCGUAACAAGGUAGCCGUAGGAGAACCUGCGGCUGGAUCACCUCCUU